RNAcentral lists this ribosomal RNA (254 nucleotides) under uncultured bacterium. RNAcentral's name for it is "partial 16S ribosomal RNA". It matches the Rfam family "Bacterial small subunit ribosomal RNA", at positions 524 to 776 of the family's 1533-position model. The record is from RNAcentral.
UACGUAGGGCGCAAGCGUUGUCCGGAAUUAUUGGGCGUAAAGAGCUCGUAGGCGGUCUGUUACGUCCGCUGUGAAAACCCAGGGCUUAACCCCUGGGCUUGCAGUGGAUACGGGUAGACUAGAGGCAGGUAGGGGAGAAUGGAAUUCCCGGUGUAGCGGUGAAAUGCGCAGAUAUCGGGAGGAACACCGGUGGCGAAGGCGGUUCUCUGGGCCUGACCUGACGCUGAGGAGCGAAAGCGUGGGGAGCGAACAGG